UUGAUUUUCUUUGUUGAAAAUUCGUCAACGGCCCGGUUUCCACCGAAUCGAUAUUAGUUUGAUUUUUCCGCCUUCAUCUUCUCCAUCGCUGUGCCGCCACUUGCUCAACACGCCGCCGCUGUGAACACCCUGCCAGCUUCACGUCUUUCUCUGAAGAGAUGAAUUGGGUUCAACGCAAGAUUUAUCUUUACAACGUCACCUUCGGUCUCUACAUGCUCGAUUGGUGGGAGCGCUAUCUUUUCAAUACACUUGUUGUUGUGCUGAUGUGGUUUAUCUUCUACAACACUUCGAGAUACGUGACUGAUUUCUGCAAAAGGCACCUGCAUUGACGUAUAGCUUCUGUCAUCGGAUACUAGUGUGCAUUACCAUGUGGAUUAACGUCUGAGUCGUGUUUUAGCAGCAGACAACUGAAAAUGUGCUCAAGCAAUUCAAAUGUAUGUACUUUCUCAUUUCUAGACUUCAAAAGAUCAAUCCGUCUUAUGUCCUCUUGACCCCACUAAAGAAAUUAUGCAUUUGUAAUGAUGUAAAAGGUCAGAUUCACUGAUUCUGCAUGGCCAUUUAAGUUUCAGUCUUUGUCUUUGAAUGAACUUUAAAGCUAAAAGUUUUUUCAGUCA
Non-coding RNA from Salvia hispanica, 614 nucleotides. NCBI's taxonomy places the organism in Eukaryota, Viridiplantae, Streptophyta, Magnoliopsida, Lamiales, Lamiaceae. The record is from RefSeq and is a predicted model, not a curated record.